AGAACGAACGCUGGCGGCAUGCCUAACACAUGCAAGUCGAACGAGACCUUCGGGUCUAGUGGCGCACGGGUGCGUAACGCGUGGGAAUCUGCCCUUGGGUUCGGGAUAACAGUUGGAAACGACUGCUAAUACCGGAUGAUGACUUCGGUCCAAAGAUUUAUCGCCCAGGGAUGAGCCCGCGUAGGAUUAGCUAGUUGGUGAGGUAAAGGCUCACCAAGGCGACGAUCCUUAGCUGGUCUGAGAGGAUGAUCAGCCACACUGGGACUGAGACACGGCCCAGACUCCGUACGGGAGGCAGCAGUGGGGAAUAUUGGACAAGUGGGCGAAAGCCUGAUCCAGCAAUAGCCGCGUGAGUGAUGAAGGCCGUUAGGUGUAAAGCUACUUUACCGGAUGAUAAUGACAGUACCGGAGAA
RNAcentral lists this ribosomal RNA (413 nucleotides) under uncultured soil bacterium. RNAcentral's name for it is "bacterial SSU rRNA". It matches the Rfam family "Bacterial small subunit ribosomal RNA", at positions 26 to 486 of the family's 1533-position model. The record is from RNAcentral.